This 467-nucleotide ribosomal RNA is filed under the name uncultured bacterium. RNAcentral describes it as "partial 16S ribosomal RNA". It matches the Rfam family "Bacterial small subunit ribosomal RNA", at positions 29 to 507 of the family's 1533-position model. The record is from RNAcentral.
ACGAGCGCUGGCGGCGUGCUUAACACAUGCACGUCGCACGGAAAGGCCCUGCUUUUGUGGGGUGCUCGAGUGGCGAACGGGUGAGUAACACGUGAGUAACCUGCCCUUGACUUUGGGAUAACUUCAGGAAACUGGGGCUAAUACCGGAUAGGAGCUCCUGCUGCAUGGUGGGGGUUGGAAAGUUUCGGCGGUUGGGGAUGGACUCGCGGCUUAUCAGCUUGUUGGUGGGGUAGUGGCUUACCAAGGCUUUGACGGGUAGCCGGCCUGAGAGGGUGACCGGCCACAUUGGGAAUGAGAUACGGCCCAGACUCCUACGGGAGGCAGCAGUGGGGAAUAUUGCACAAUGGGCGGAAGCCUGAUGCAGCAACGCCGCGUGCGGGAUGACGGCCUUCGGGUUGUAAACCGCUUUCGCCUGUGACGAAGCGUGAGUGACGGUAAUGGGUAAAGAAGCACCGGCUAACUACGUG